CCCUUAGAUGUCCUGGGCCGCACGCGCGCUACACUGAGUGUCUGAGAUACGAGUCUGCCUGGUCCGGCAAGGUCUAGGUAAUCGCUAAAAGACACAUCAUGCUUGGGAUAGAUUAUUGCAAAUAUUAAUCUUGAACGAGGAAUUCCUAGUAAGCGCAAGUCAACAGCUUGCGUUGAUUACGUCCCUGCCCUUUGUACACACCGCCCGUCGCUACUACUGAUUGGAUGUUUAAGCGAUGUUCUCGAACUGCUAGCGACUUAGCUUCGGUGAGGUCGCAGUGUGGGAAGUGAACCUAGCUUUGGUGUCUAGAGGAAGUAAAAGUCGUAACA
This 329-nucleotide ribosomal RNA is filed under the name uncultured eukaryote. RNAcentral describes it as "partial 18S ribosomal RNA". It matches the Rfam family "Eukaryotic small subunit ribosomal RNA", at positions 1470 to 1796 of the family's 1831-position model. The record is from RNAcentral.